RNAcentral lists this ribosomal RNA (377 nucleotides) under uncultured bacterium. RNAcentral describes it as "bacterial SSU rRNA". It matches the Rfam family "Bacterial small subunit ribosomal RNA", at positions 523 to 898 of the family's 1533-position model. The record is from RNAcentral.
GUACGUAGGUGGCGAGCGUUGUUCGGAUUUAUUGGGCGUAAAGGGUCCGUAGGUGGUUUGUUAAGUCUGACGUGAAAUCCCAUGGCUCAACCAUGGAACUGCGUUGGAGACUGAUGAACUUGAGUAUUGGAGAGGUAAGCGGAAUAUCAGGUGUAGCGGUGGAAUGCGUAGAUAUCUGAUAGAACACCAAAAGCGAAGGCAGCUUACUGGACAAUUACUGACACUGAGGGACGAAAGCGUGGGGAGCAAACAGGAUUAGAUACCCUGGUAGUCCACGCCGUAAACGUUGUCAACUUGAUGUGGGGGGAUUUAACCCCUUCCGUGUCAAAGCUAACGCGAUAAGUUGACCGCCUGGGGACUACGGCCGCAAGGCUAAA